Pungitius pungitius (ninespine stickleback) is the source of this 372-nucleotide long non-coding RNA. RefSeq lists it as uncharacterized. The transcript has 3 exons. The record is from RefSeq and is a predicted model, not a curated record. Lineage: Eukaryota; Metazoa; Chordata; Actinopteri; Perciformes; Gasterosteidae.
GAACAUUUCGACUGGAAAAUAGGAUUGAGGGUCAGGGACGACAAGGGGGAAGACCUCCUAUGUUCACAGAACAGCAAGAGAGGGAGAUAGUAAAUCUGGUUUUGGCCAACAAUGCUAUAACACUCAAGCAGCUCCAAGCUAACAUUGUCAAUGACCACGCCAUUUUCAACGAUAUCCAUCAGGUCUCAACAUCAACACUGGCACGCAUCCUAAAAAAAAAACCUAUUCAAAUGAAGCAAAUUUAUCGAGUGCCUUUCGAGCGCAAUUCCGAAAGAGUGAAACGAGCGCGGCAUGAUUAUGCAGAGAGAGUUUUACAAAUGGAUGGAGAGGAGAUCCAGCAUGAGUUCAUUUAUGUAGAUGAGGCUGGGUUCA